This is a non-coding RNA of Tinamus guttatus (white-throated tinamou), 148 nucleotides long. The record is from RefSeq and is a predicted model, not a curated record. NCBI's taxonomy places the organism in Eukaryota, Metazoa, Chordata, Aves, Tinamiformes, Tinamidae.
GACACGCUGUUCUGGCUCGAAAACCCAUUUCCCUGGAGCGUGUUUUGUGUUUGCACUGAGGCAGCCCGGGGUUGUCGGGCGCAUUCAUAUCGUGAAAUCUCCUUAGUAACUCCGAAAGACUGAUGCCUGGUGAAAUGAUGCCUGGAGC